AUUUAAGUAGUUUAAAUAAAAUAUUGAUUUGUGGAAUCAGAUAUAUGAUAUACUAUCAUCUUAGAUA
Molecule: transfer RNA, 67 nt
Filed under: Tagiades tethys
Lineage: Eukaryota; Metazoa; Arthropoda; Insecta; Lepidoptera; Hesperiidae
Description: Daimio tethys tRNA-His
Source: RNAcentral